This 409-nucleotide ribosomal RNA is filed under the name uncultured bacterium. Its description in RNAcentral is "partial 16S ribosomal RNA". The record is from RNAcentral.
GGCAUUCUUCGUACACACGGCAUGGCUGGAUCAGAGUCUCCUCCAUUGUCCAAUAUUCCUCACUACUGCCUACAGUAGGAGUCUGGUCCGUGUCUCAGUACCAGUGUGGGGGAUCUCCCUCUCAGGACCCCUACCUAUCGCUGUCUUGGUAAGCCGUUACCUUACCAACUAACUAAUAGGACGCAUAGCCAUCUUUUACCGAUAAAUCUUUAAUUAUAAACUGAUGCCAGUCUACAAUACCAUGAGGCAUUAAUCUUCAUUUCUAAAGGCUAUUCCUCUGUAAAAGGUAGGUUCUAUACGCGUUACGCACCCGUGCGCCGGUCGUCAUCUGUGCAAGCACAAUGUUACCCCUCGACUUGCAUGUGUUAAGCCUGCCGCUAGCGUUCAUCCUGAGCCAGGAUCAAACUCU